This 459-nucleotide ribosomal RNA is filed under the name uncultured bacterium. RNAcentral describes it as "partial 16S ribosomal RNA". It matches the Rfam family "Bacterial small subunit ribosomal RNA", at positions 338 to 795 of the family's 1533-position model. The record is from RNAcentral.
CCUACGGGAGGCUGCAGUGAGGAAUAUUGGUCAAUGGGCGCGAGCCUGAACCAGCCAAGUCGCGUGAGGGAUGAAUGCACUACGUGUUGUAAACUUCUUUUGUAAAGGAAUAAAGUCGGGCACGAGUGCCUUUUUGUGUGUACUUUAUGAAUAAGCAUCGGCUAACUCCGUGCCAGCAGCCGCGGUAAUACGGAGGAUCCGAGCGUUAUCCGGAUUUAUUGGGUUUAAAGGGUGCGUAGGCGGGCUGUUAAGUCAGCGGUAAAAGCCCGGGGCUCAACCCCGGCGAGCCGUUGAAACUGGCUGUCUUGAGAUGUCGAGAGGUAGGCGGAAUGCGCAGUGUAGCGGUGAAAUGCUUAGAUAUUGCGCAGAACCCCGAUUGCGAAGGCAGCAUACCGGCGGCGAUCUGACGCUGAGGCACGAAAGCGUGGGUAUCGAACAGGAUUAGAUACCCCAGUAGUC